AUUGCUUCUCAGCCUUUUGGCUAAGAUCAUGUGUAGUAUCUGUUCUUAUCGGUGGAGGGGGUAUAUCACUGGUGAAGCAGAGCAGCACUU
This 90-nucleotide small nuclear RNA is filed under the name Xenopus laevis (African clawed frog). RNAcentral's name for it is "U2 spliceosomal RNA". It matches the Rfam family "U2 spliceosomal RNA". From Rfam's summary of the family: U2 is a small nuclear RNA (snRNA) component of the spliceosome (involved in pre-mRNA splicing). Complementary binding between U2 snRNA (in an area lying towards the 5' end but 3' to hairpin I) and the branchpoint sequence (BPS) of the intron results the bulging out of an unpaired adenosine, on the BPS, which initiates a nucleophilic attack at the intronic 5' splice site, thus starting the first of two transesterification reactions that mediate splicing. Lineage: Eukaryota; Metazoa; Chordata; Amphibia; Anura; Pipidae. The record is from Rfam by way of RNAcentral.